Molecule: non-coding RNA, 73 nt
Organism: Potamilus streckersoni
Lineage: Eukaryota; Metazoa; Mollusca; Bivalvia; Unionida; Unionidae
Source: the annotation of a GenBank genome assembly
GCUCCGGUGGCCUAGUGGUUAGAGCGUCAGCUUCGGAUGCGGGAGCUCGUGAGUUCUUUUCCCGGUCGAGGCA